UUGGAAAUUCAGGGGAUGCUCAGA
RNAcentral lists this non-coding RNA (24 nucleotides) under Mus musculus (house mouse). The record is from RNAcentral. Lineage: Eukaryota; Metazoa; Chordata; Mammalia; Rodentia; Muridae.